AGCUCAGUUGGUAAAGCAAAAACUGAAA
RNAcentral lists this transfer RNA (28 nucleotides) under Decaneuropsis eberhardtii. RNAcentral describes it as "partial tRNA-Phe". Lineage: Eukaryota; Viridiplantae; Streptophyta; Magnoliopsida; Asterales; Asteraceae. The record is from RNAcentral.